RNAcentral lists this transfer RNA (68 nucleotides) under Penion ormesi. RNAcentral's name for it is "tRNA-Ala". Lineage: Eukaryota; Metazoa; Mollusca; Gastropoda; Neogastropoda; Buccinidae. The record is from RNAcentral.
GACUUGAUACUUUAAAUUAAAAGAUCUGAUUUGCAUCUAGACAAUAAGUUUUAUAAACUUUCAGGUCA